This is an RNA transcript of Equus quagga, 4007 nucleotides long. It is a transcript of the gene named collagen alpha-1(I) chain-like, with no coding region annotated. The record is from RefSeq and is a predicted model, not a curated record. NCBI's taxonomy places the organism in Eukaryota, Metazoa, Chordata, Mammalia, Perissodactyla, Equidae. The transcript has 2 exons.
UGGAAGUGGACCUCAGCCUCCUUUGCCUCCAAGGGGGAGCCAGAAGCCCAGAGAGGGCAAGGGACUUGCCUAGGGUCCCACAGCCAGGGCUUGGGGUCAUCAGAGGGGCUCUGUAGACACCUAGAACCCCUGGCUGGGCUUUGGAACUGUCACCAAAGCUUGAUUUGAAUUCAUUUUUUAAAAACAGCUUUUUGCCUCAAGGCUUUCUUGAUACCACGUGGCUCAGACAAGCUGCAGAAAUAGACUGGGCGCUGGGGUACCUCCCAGCAGCCCCGCAGCCCUCACCAACACCCCGGGCAGGGAGUGUGUCUAGCACAAUUGUCACACACUUACCGUUGCAAGUGACUUCAGACUAAGGACCUGUCAGCACCCUGAACUGAGAAAUUUAUGCUGAUAAAACACCCCUUUAUCAGUUUCACAUGUUGGCCUUUUGGAUAUGAUUGUGGCUGAAAAAGAGGUUUUACUGGAAAAGUCCAUUUGAAAAUGGCAGCCUUGACUCCCUCCUCACAGGUGCCCUGGGAGGCUGGGGAAGGGCAAGAAUCCUCUUCUAGAAAAUGGGAACACUAAGGUCAGAGGGUAGGGUGACGUGCGUAGUGGCUGGAAUCUAGGGUGCUUCCGUCUUCCGGCGCCAUGAGAAGGGAGACAGACUAUUUUGCCCAGCCCAGCCCCACCUAGAGUGGGUGGUCUAAGAUACCCCCAUGGGCUGCAGUGCCCGCUGAGGAUAAAUCCUUAGAAUCUCCAUUUCUUGACAGUUCACCUCAGUGUAACACACACUCUGGACCCAGAUAGUUUGAAACCUUCCUGUGCCAUUUCUUAGCUGUGUGACCUUGGAUAAGUCACUUCACCUCUCUGCGCCUCAGUUUGCUCACCUGUAAAAUGGGGAUAAUAAUAGGAUGCACUUCACAGGGAGGGUUGUGGGAAAGACUGCUUGAGAAACUGCCUGAAAAGCACUUAGCACAAGGCUGGACACUUUGUGAGCACCCAACCAACGGUAGAGUUUAUUAUCAUUAUUAUUCUCCCUGAGGAAGCACUCACUGAAUCUUUACCCUGACAGCCCUGCUUGGGUCCUGGGGAUUGGACAUGGGGCUUCUGCCCCCAAGUGGCUCAGAAGUCCAGAGAGACAAGAGGCAGCGCUGAGGGAAAGGCCACUUCUGAUGGGGCAUCCAUCCGGGAAGGCCUCCAGGAAGAAGUGGCCUUGAAGCUGGGCCUAGAAGGAUGGCCUCUUCAGACUGUCUGGGCAGGGCCGUCAGGAGUUGGGAGAUGGCUGACUUAGCUUGCUUGUCUGGGAGAAAGAACUGCGGAGAAACCUCCUGGCCAGCCUGGGGUGGUUGUGUGGAGAGAAGCCAGAAUCAGCUCAGGAACUCCAAAAACCUCAGCAGCUCCUUUGCCUUCUGCCCCUAUCCACCCACCGCCGUUUCCCCUGGAGGUCACUCGAGCCAAAAUACCAAGAGCCAGGCGGCCGGGCAGAUGGCCAUUCCCAGGAAAGCAGGAGCCGAGAAGAGGGAACCUGUGCCCCCUUCCCACUCCCACAACCCAGCUGUGUCAGCAGAAAGUCCACCCAGGCUGGGUUCGAAUCCCACUUACUGUGUGAUCUCAGCCAAGUCACUUCAUUUCUUUGAACCUCAGUUUUCUCUUCUGUAAAAUGGGCAUAAAGCUACCUUAAAGGGCUGUUGUGAGGAUGUACUGACCAGAUGUAUAAAGCAUCCGGCACACAUUAAGUGCUUAAUAAUUGUCUCUUUGGAGACGGGAAAAGAGCCAGGCUGACUUUCCACAUGAGGAAGUGAGGAUGCUGGAGACUGGCCCCUCCAACUUAAUCCCUGGCCCAUCACCCUCAGGAAGUCCACAGCCUCCUCAACCGGCAGGGCUGGCAGAUGAGGAAACCGAGGUGCAGAGUCAAGCCAGGCUUGUGAAAAGCAUGCAGAGGACCAGAGGAGGUGGGAUGCAAACCCAGGCUCAAUGGAUGGACUCGACGUCGAGGCCUCCCCAGAACUCUUCAUCGCAGACACCUUGCUCUGGCUGAACCCCAGUUCUCCCCACUCCCACCCCCUCACGCCUACACAUCUGCUCCCUCCCCAGAGAAGUUCAGGCCGUGGGAGCCAGCCCUCCCUUCCUUCCAGGCUUCUGUGGAUGCCCUGGACCACGUCCACCAAUAGCCACCGGAGGACAGGCAGAGCCGGGGCUGAGUCAGCUGGUGCCCCAUGGCACAGCCUGGCACAAGAGCUCCUAGGAGGCUUUGCUGAGAGGACGAAUCAGGAGGCUGGACACGAAGUCACCACCCAGGGACGUGCCUGCAGCGCCACCUGGUGGUGACGUGGCACUCCUGCUACUCUCGGCCCUUGUCCUGCCAUCCCAUCCCUGUGGGUUCGGUAGAUGGUUUAGUGAGCAGCUACUACGUGCCAAGCAAUGGGUGGCCAGGCACUGAGAAUGGGACCAGUCCGGGAAGAUCUGGGGGACAGCACUCCAGGCAGACAAGUGCUCUGAGACCGGAAGGAGUUGGUCGUGACCCAGAAGGAGCAAAAUGGUCAAAGUGGCUAGACCCGGGUGCCAGGGGUGGAGACGGAGGGGGAAGUGGGCCGGGUUGGUGGCCAGAUCUCAUGGGGCUUUUUAGGCUGUGGUGAGGAUAUGGUCGAUGGUUUAAAGGCUGCUGUGGGGAGGACAGACUGCAGGGUGAAAACAGGAAAUCAGGCAGAAUAUGAUGGUGGCUCAGACACCAGGGGGUGGCGGGGAGGGUGGGAAGAAGUGCCUGGAUUCUAGAACUGAUAGGAUUUGCAGACGGAUUGGAUGGGGCUGUGAGAUAAAGUGGGGAAUGAAGGACAACCCCAAGGCUUUUGUCUGAGCACCUGAGGAAAGGUGAGGUCCUUUACUUUGAAGAGAAGACGGAGGAGAAGCAGGUUUGCGGGGGGGACCAGGUGCCUUCGGGCAGUUUAACGUGGAGACGCCUGUAAUAUGUCCAAGGGGAGGAGCCGGGGAAGUGGGUGGGUCUGUGCCUCUGGAGCUCAGGGGGAGGAUGGGGCUGGAGGUCCACAUGUGAAGUUGCCAGGGUACAGAUGGCAGCCCACGCCGUGAGGAUGGGUGAAUCACCUAGGAGCAGGCACAGGACAGAGCAGGGGGCCUCUGACCUUUAGAGUUUGAGGAGACGAGGAGGAGCAGCCAGGAGGUAGGAGAGCCGGAGCCAGUGGAGAGAGUGUUUCAAGAAGGUGGGAGUGAGCAACUGGGUCCGAGGCUGCUCAGAUGGGAGAGAGAGGAGCCUGGGCAUCGCCCCAAGCCGACUUGGCAAUGCCACGGCGGUCAUCGGGGACCUUGAGAAGCGGGGUUCCAGCGGAGGGUGAACGUCUGAUUGGAGGGAAAGUGGCGGCUGCGAACGGAGACCUCACUUCUGAGGAGUUUCACUAUAAAGGGAGCAGAAGAAUGGCGGGAGCCGGAGGGUGAUAGCGGCCUGGGAGGUUUGCUAUUUAAUUUUGGGGCUGGAGCAGAUUUUACAGCACGUUUGUGGACUCAUGGAAUUAUCUCGUGGAGAGGGAGGGUUGGAGCGCAUGGGAGAGAGAAUCGCAGGCGUGGGGUGACAGGAUGGGUGCUCAUGGGAGGGGACUGGGUUACUGGGGGCAGAGAUACUCUGUCCCUAACAGGAGGGAAAGCAGAACAGCAUGUGGCUGAGGGGGGGCCCUAGAGUUGGGCUGCCUGGGUCCAUAUCCUGGCUCUACCACUGAUAAUCCCUGGGACUAGAACAAGUCAUUCCUGUUUUCUGAGCCUCAAUUUUCUUACCUGUAAAACAUGCGUGGUGAUGAGAGUAAAAGCUGGCAGUGUGGCACUUGCUCCCAGCCGUGAGCUAUUCUAAGCAUCUCACACAUUUUAAUUCAGUGGAUUCUCACUUCAAGAGUGAAGGAGCAGGGCCAGCCCAGUAACCAGUAGUUGAGUUCGGCGCACUCUGCUUCAGCAGCCCAGGCUUGUGGGUUAAGUUCCCAGGCACAGACCUACACCACUUGUCAGCUAUGCUGCGGCAGUGUCCC